UAUAUCCGUAUGGAGGCUUCGACCAAUCUGAUUGGUGGUCAGCCUUUCUCAGUGCAAAACCUGAGGGAUGUGC
Molecule: transfer RNA, 73 nt
Filed under: Bacteroidetes bacterium ADurb.Bin416
Lineage: Bacteria; Pseudomonadati; Bacteroidota
Description: tRNA-Thr
Source: RNAcentral